Molecule: non-coding RNA, 75 nt
Organism: Myotis lucifugus (little brown bat)
Lineage: Eukaryota; Metazoa; Chordata; Mammalia; Chiroptera; Vespertilionidae
Source: Rfam
GGUGGUUCUCAGGUGACAUAUGCUGGAAUCGGGCUCCCUUCUCUCUGGUUCUGGGUGCUUCACCCAAGAACCGCU